RNAcentral lists this ribosomal RNA (483 nucleotides) under uncultured bacterium. RNAcentral describes it as "partial 16S ribosomal RNA". It matches the Rfam family "Bacterial small subunit ribosomal RNA", at positions 30 to 523 of the family's 1533-position model. The record is from RNAcentral.
AUUGAACGCUGGCGGCGUGCCUAAUACGUGCAAGUCGAGCGAACCACUUCGGUGGUGAGCGGCGAACGGGUGAGUAACACGUAGGUGAUCUGCCCAUCAGACGGGGACAACGAUUGGAAACGAUCGCUAAUACCGGAUAGGACGAAAGUUUAAAGGUGCUUCUGGCACCGCUGAUGGAUGAGCCUGCGGCGCAUUAGCUAGUUGGUAGGGUAAAGGCCUACCAAGGCGACGAUGCGUAGCCGACCUGAGAGGGUGAACGGCCACACUGGGACUGAGACACGGCCCAGACUCCUACGGGAGGCAGCAGUAGGGAAUCUUCGGCAAUGGCCGAAAGCCUGACCGAGCAACGCCGCGUGAAUGAUGAAGGCCUUCGGGUUGUAAAACUCUGUUAUAAGGGAAGAACGACUUUAGUAGGAAAUGGCUAGAGUGUGACGGUACCUUAUGAGAAAGCCACGGCUAACUACGUGCCAGCCGCCGCUGUAA